GGACGAACGCUGGCGGCGUGCCUAACACAUGCAAGUCGAGCGGGGAGGAGGAAGCUUGCUUCCGAAUCCUAGCGGCGGACGGGUGAGUAACGCGUGAGCAACCUGCCUUGAACUGGGGGAUAACGCAUCGAAAGAUGUGCUAAUACCGCGUAAGACCACAGUACCGCAUGGUACAGGGGUCAAAGGAGCAAUCCGGUUUAAGAUGGGCUCGCGUCCGAUUAGCUAGUUGGUGAGAUAACAGCCCACCAAGGCAACGAUCGGUAGCCGACCUGAGAGGGUGAUCGGCCACAUUGGAACUGAGACACGGUCCAGACUCCUACGGGAGGCAGCAGUGGGGAAUAUUGGGCAAUGGGCGAAAGCCUGACCCAGCAACGCCGCGUGAGGGAAGAAGGGUUUCGGCUCGUAAACCUCUGUCCUAUGGGACGAAGAAGUGACGGUACCAUAGGAGGAAGCCCCGGCUAACUACGUG
RNAcentral lists this ribosomal RNA (469 nucleotides) under uncultured bacterium. Its description in RNAcentral is "bacterial SSU rRNA". It matches the Rfam family "Bacterial small subunit ribosomal RNA", at positions 27 to 507 of the family's 1533-position model. The record is from RNAcentral.